Hydra vulgaris (swiftwater hydra) is the source of this 2666-nucleotide non-coding RNA. NCBI's taxonomy places the organism in Eukaryota, Metazoa, Cnidaria, Hydrozoa, Anthoathecata, Hydridae. The record is from RefSeq and is a predicted model, not a curated record.
AAACUAAAAUUUAAAUAUUUUCAGAAAUAACUAAAUUUAUUUACCAGCCAUUUUUUUAAGUUUUAGAAAUUUUAAAAUAAAAAAAUUCACCGAACUACCUAGUAUGGCGACUGCUACUUCUGCUAACCACAUUUUGUGUCUUAUCAAACUAUGCAGACUAUGUGGAAAUUAUAUUGGAACUGACUCAUUUAAUGUAAUAAAUAUAAUAGCAAGAGUUGACCAAGCAUUUUUUACCGAGGUAGGAGAAGACAGAACGAAGAUCCACCCACCAAAAAUUUGCAUGAAAUGUUAUACAUUAAUGAGACAUAUUGAACAGCGAGGAACGACCUCUUUUAAUUUCAUUUUAACAAGCUGGCCGCAUACGUGCUCACUUGAAAGCUGUAUAUGUUUUUUAAAGAAAUCUGGCAGAAAGAAAAAGAAACCAUUUGGAAGACCACCAUCAGUUAAUAAAGAUGUUUGGACAAGGAAAUCAAUUAAUGAAAUAUUAGACAGUUUUUCUGAAAUGCCUCGCUUAUACUAUGAGUCUAUCAGUAUAGUUAAUAACCCCCACAAAGAUUUAUGCAUCUGCAAGAUUUGUAAAAGAAUAUUUCAUCGACCUGUUUUACUUAAUAACUGCCAACAUUUAUUUUGUGCUUCAUGUAUUUUUCCAAAUUUAGUUGGAAAAUUAGAGACAGAAGCAAAAUGCAAGUUAUGUGGCUCUAAUAUAUCUUUAGAUAACAUUUCAAAAGCAACAACUAUGCAAAAUAUCCUUGAAAAUAUAGUUCUAAAGUGUUCCGAAAAUUCAUGCAAAAGUAUAAGCAAUAAGGAAGAACAUGAACAAGUAUGGAAAAGUGGAAAGAUAUUACCCCAAUGUUUAGCAUCGUCUUCUUCUUCAUUGACAGUAACAGAUAUUUACAAAAUUAAUACAAAUAGUGAUAUUCCUAAAGAACUAGAAUAUGCAUUUGCUCACUUUGCAAAGCUAAAAAUGGCAAAAAACAAUUCACAUUCAUUUGAACUUCCUUCUGGCGGUCCAAGGGCUACACAGUUUUCAGUGACUACAAAGAGCUUUAAAACAUCAACUGAGAUUAGUCAGAAAACCAUUUAUAGACGUCAAAAGCAACUCCACCAAUCGCUAAUAGAUAAUGCAGGACCAACAAAAAAGGCAAAAAUACAACAAGUAGCACUUAUGCUCAAUUCUUUUAAUAAAAACGAUAAAAUUGAUAUUCUAAAAAAAUCAAAUCUCUCCCAAGUUGAGAUAGGACCAGAAGAUAUUGUAUCACUUAAAGCAGACUGUGGUUUACCUUGGGAAAAGAUGAAAAAAAUGAUAAGAUUUUUCCAGACAAAAAAUGUCAAAUUACCCUCACUUUCUAAUCAACGAAAAGUUGCAAAAUAUUGGUCAGGUAACGAUUUGAUUGUUGAAGAUAAAGAACUGCUGUUUAAAUUAAAAAACAAAAAAGGAACUUUUGAAUUGAAAGAUACACCUACAGCAUAUAUUAAUGAUUUGCCAUCACAUUUAAUUAAGGUACUGGAUCAGUUAGAAAGAUAUAACCAACUAACAUUUGAAAAGAUAACUCCUAGUGAAAUACAUAUAAAGAUUGGUGGUGACCACAGAGGUGGUUCAUUUAAAAUGAGCUAUCAGGUAGCUAAUGUUGCUACACCCAAUUCAAAAAAUAAUACGACUGUUUUCAAUAUAUUUGAGGCCAAAGAUUAUAGAGCAAACCUCAAAAUUUCACUCUCAAGACACAUAGAUGAAAUUGCUUCAAGCAAUGAAAUGGAGGGAAAAAUGUUUGCGUGUAUUUAUAUUUGGUGAUUAUGUAUUUUUGUGUGCUAUUUAUGGCAUCACAGGAGCAACUGGUCGUCAUUGCUGCUUAUUCUGUGAAAUCACAUCAAGUGAAAUGCAAUUGAACAUUGAAGCUAGAACGCGACCGAUUCUUUUGAGAACGCUUGCAACUUUAAAAUCAGAUUAUGAACGAUUCAAAAAUGAUGGAGGCAAUAUUAAACGUGCAAAGAAUUUCAAUAAUGUAAUUGAUGAGCCGUUAUUUGAUAUACCAAUUGAACAGGUGUGUGUUAAUUGUUGCCAAAGCAUUAAUGCCAGUAAUAUAAAUAUAAAUGCAGGUCUGUGGUUAGGCUACCCCAAACCAGGGGCAGCAAAUUGUAGAGGCCCCUUUCCACAAUUUAAGUAGCUUAAUUUAAGUAGUAUUAAAUUUGAUUUUUUAUUUUUUUAGAAAUACAUUAAAUAAUUGAAUGUUUUGAAGAUUUUAUUGUUAUUAAGAUUAAGAUUGAGGCUGUGUUUUUUUAGAGGGGGGGGGGUCCUCUAGGGGAGUCAGAAAGAAAAAUGAAAAAAAAAACUGAAAUGAUGUAAAAGAAGAGGAGUUGAUUAAAGAAAACCGUCAUUCACCGUCAACCAUCAAUUAGAUGUUCUGAAGUAAUCAAAUACUUUUGGACAAAUAGAAUCUCUUUCUUCUAUCAAGUUACUCAACAGAAUCAAUCUGCAUUUUGCUUCGCAUUUUUAAUACGAUCCCGGCUUCAGUGACUGAAGGAGAGCGCCCUUUCAAUAGCAAUACCAGCUCUACACAUCUUAUUGGGAAUAUUUCUAAAAUUCUUCAAAAUGUUAGAGGUAGAAUGUCAUCUCCUUGAUAUCAAACUAGCUGGAUUUCUAGCAAUAAAUGAUAAACACCUUGAAUCAA